UACGGGGGGGGCAAGCGUUGUUCGGAAUUACUGGGCGUAAAGGGUUUGUAGGUGGCUUGUUAAGUCAGACGUGAAAUCCCUCAGCUUAACUGGGGAACUGCGUCUGAUACUGGCGAGCUUGAGUGCAGGAGAGGAACGCGGAAUUCCAGGUGUAGCGGUGAAAUGCGCAGAUAUCAGGAGGAACACCGAUGGCGAAGGCAGUUCUCUGGGCCGUAACUGACGCUGAGGAGCGAAAGCGUGGGGAGCGAACAGG
Molecule: ribosomal RNA, 253 nt
Filed under: uncultured bacterium
Lineage: Bacteria
Description: partial 16S ribosomal RNA
Rfam family: Bacterial small subunit ribosomal RNA
Source: RNAcentral